Molecule: non-coding RNA, 2836 nt
Organism: Lolium perenne
Lineage: Eukaryota; Viridiplantae; Streptophyta; Magnoliopsida; Poales; Poaceae
Source: RefSeq, a predicted model, not a curated record
UCUUUCUCCCACCUCUCAACUUCCCGUCCAUCCCCUUUUUUCUUCACCUGCCGACAACCAGAGGAGAGAUGUCAUGCCCUAGCGUCAGCCGCCGCCACAUCUCCAGCCCUGCUCGCCGGCAGCGCACACCGCCUGGCCGUCAGUGUUUACCCCGCCGCGACGCCACCUGGUUGCCAUCCCCGCGCUCAAGGUCGACCCCGCAGUCCUCGCUGCAUCUCCUACCUCGGGCGCCGGCAGCCCCACAAGGCCACAAGACACAGCGCCGCCGCUGCACCACCACGUCGCCAGACGCUAGUCGCCCCGCGUGUUUCCCCAUACAAAUACAAGUUGCCCUUUGAUUUGGCUAAUGGAUCGAAUAAGAUUUCUCUUCCCAGGAUCUUCCCUUGAAGGCGAUGCCGCCAAGGAAGCGGGGGAAAAGGGGGUUACCACCGCUACCAAGCAGCAGCAACCGCCACCGCCCGACCCGCCUGGACCCGACGCUCCCGUGCAAGAGAAGCUGCGGAGGCUUGCUGACCAAGAGACUGGGAUUCCUCAUCUGAAGUGGUUUGGAGUGGACGGGGAGUACAAUGUCAUGGUCAUUGAUCUUCUUGGUCCAAGUCUGUAAGACUUAUUCAACUAUUGCAACAGUACUUAUGCUUGCUGAUCAGAUGAUUGCUAGGGUAGAGUACAUGCACUUGAGGGGCUUUCUUCAUCGUGAUAUAAAGCCGGAUAACUUUCUUGUGGGUUUAGGCCAUAGAGCAAGCCAGGCUGAUUAAAUGCGCGAGUUGAUAUUGUGGGAAGGUUAGGACGACCAAAGUGCUUGAUUGCAGCGUGAGUUGAUAUUGACUGUGAGUUGAUAUUGACUGUUUCGAAAAUGAAUUUACUUCCUUGGAAAUGUUCGGGCGGUCUUAUUCCACUAUCGCAAAGAUUAUUAGAGUAGGCUCCCCUCCAUUACUUGUGGAGAUGGUGUUGGACAAGUCUUUGAAAGGAGUUCGUUCAGUCGAUUGUUUCGACGGCUCCAUCUGCAAGGUGUCCUGAUAAAAAAGCAGGGAAGUACUGGCGUUUGACCUUUAUGAGUUCGAUAGGAUCUGGAAUGACAUGAGGACAUAUCAGGAUAUAGACUAUGUCAUGUCCGAAGCCAAGGUUUGUGUCAGUACACCACCCCAAGGCACAAUUCAGUUUAUGUAUGCUUGCAGCCUAUCCAUAAACUGGUAGAAUACAUCAAGUAUCGAGAGGCUUGCAUCUUCUAAACUUAUUGAUGUCUGCUGAUCGUCAUGCAAUCAGGCCUCAGGCAUUUUCGUGCAUAUAUCAAUGGCAACAUGUUAGCUUGUUAGGUCCUAUUCUGAUGAUGUGAAUGUGGAUUUUGAGGUCACCUUGAGUGAGGAAAACAUGAAUAUUGCUAAGCAAGAAGGCCUUGUGAAGAAAUUCAAGCUGACAUCCACACUGGCAAUAACAAACAUGCACUUGUUUGGUCCGGAUGGCAAAAUUAGAAAGUACGAGACCCCAGAGGAAAUACUUGAAGAGUUCUUCACACUGAGACUUGAAUAUUAUGUUAAAAGAAAGGAUGCUUUGUUCAAAAAUAUUACACUGGAAAUGAGGAAGCUUGAUGAAAAAGUACGGUUUAUUCUUGCUGUUGUUGAGGGUGAGAUUAAAGUCAAUAACAGGAAGAGGGCCGAGCUAUUUGAGGAGCUGAAGCAGAAGGGUUAUGAAAGUUUCCCAAAGAACAAGAAGAAGAAUGAGCCAGUUGCUGCAGGAGCUACAGAUGACGAUGAUGGAAAUGAAGAGAGCCCUGCUGAUGGUGCAGAUGCUGAAGAUGCUAGUGGUUAUGAUUACCUCCUCUCAAUGUCAAUUGGUACCUUGACUCGUGAGAAGGUACAACAGCUCAUUGCUCAGCAGGAGAAUUUAAGUCUUGAAGUUGAGAGACUAAGGCUAACAGAACCAAAAUCACUUUGGUUUAAAGACCUUGACGCUCUUGAGAAGGAACUGGAUAAACUCGACGCAAUCUAUCAAAAGGCCCAGGAGAAAAGAAGAGCUGCACGGGAAAAGAACAGGAAGAAUAAGGAAGCGGGAACUAAAGCAGCACCCAAGAGACAGCCUAAGAAGACCUAUGUCAAGUCUGAGAAGGCUGGGAGUGAUGAUGAGGAUUACGGAGCACCAAUGCCGAAAGCAGCAGCACAAAAGAAGAAACCAGCCAAGAAGGCAAUUGCACCAGUGAAAGAAGAAGAGGAGGAAAUGCUCGAACUGAAAGACCGUCUGGCGGCUUUAUAGUUAGCCUAUCCAGAAAGCUCAAUUCUAGAAAUGACUCAUCUCCAGAACAUAAGAAGUAAGAAACCGAUGCGAUGUCUGAGCGUCAAAGAAGAGGCGGCAAACCAAUGAGGCAGACCACGGGGCGUCGGCGAGGCGGCAGACCAAUGAGGCAGACCACGGGGCGUCGGCGAGGCGGUAGACCAAUGAGGCAGACCACGGGGCGUCGGCGUUGGCAACCAGCAAGGUCGAUGUAGAGAUUGCAGUCGUCGGCGAAGAUACGGCAGACCACGGGGCGGCGAGCUGGUUGCCAGAAGGCAGGCGUCAAAGAAGAGAUGUCAGACCACGAGGCAUCGAGGUGGUUGCCGGACAGCAGGUGAGAAGAGACGGCAGCGUGAGGGGGAGGUGAUUUCGUUGGUCUGAUUGAUUUUCAUAUACGUUUUGGCUGAUUUUUUCCUUGUACGUGAGGGGGAGAUGAUUUCGUUGUCCAUUUCACUGAUUGAUAUUUUCUUGUACGUGAGGGGGGAGAUGAUUUGGUUGGUCUGAUUGGUUUCCGUACACGUUUUGGCUGAUUGAUAUUUCCUUGCAUGGAACGUGAGACUAAUUGACUUUC